GUGUUGUACUGGAGUGGAGAAGGUUAACAACAUACCUCCUUGAAAGGAUGGAGGGACUACUGGGCCUUGCCUCAUACCUAGAGGCAUUUCUACUUACCUUGUGGCAUCAAACCACUGUUUUUU
This is a small nuclear RNA of Rattus norvegicus (Norway rat), 123 nucleotides long. The record is from Ensembl. NCBI's taxonomy places the organism in Eukaryota, Metazoa, Chordata, Mammalia, Rodentia, Muridae.